This 1326-nucleotide long non-coding RNA is filed under the name Bos grunniens (domestic yak). Its description in RNAcentral is "lncRNA (ENSBGRG00000016066.1)". The record is from RNAcentral. Lineage: Eukaryota; Metazoa; Chordata; Mammalia; Artiodactyla; Bovidae.
UGGCCAAUCAGAACUCAGGGCUGAGCUUCCGGUGAAGAGAAGCUCUAUUUCCGUUGGGAGCAGUUGCGAAGUGAGGUUGGCCUGCGCGGGUGGAAGCAGACGUGACGUCAGCUUGUGGCCUUUGCUGCUAAGUCACUUCAGUCAUGUCCGACUCUGUGUGACCCCAUAGACGGCAGCCCACCAGGCUCCCCCGUCCCUGGGAUUCUCCAGGCAAGAAUACUGGAGUGGGUUGCCAUUUCCUUCUCCAACGCAUGAAAGUGGAAAGUGAAAGUGAAGUCGCUCAGUCGUGUCCGACCCUUAGCGACCCCACGGACUGCAGCCUACCAGCCUCCUCCGCUCAUGGGAUUUUCCAGGCAAGAGUACUGGAGUAGGGUGUCAUUGCCUUCUCCUUGUGGCGUUUGGUAAAGGCCAAACUUUACCAAAAGUUUGUCACUUCUGUAAAGGCAGAGCCAUCUGUGUGAGGAGGACAUCAGCAAGCAGAGCUGAGAGUUCAGGAGAGAUGGUUCCGGCUGACGUCCUAAAACUCCCGAGUGCAGCCCUGGCGGACGCUUGUGGAUUUAGGUUCCACCAAUUCAUUUAUGGCUGGAGUCCUAGAUAGAGUGGGCUGUGUAUCCCAAGGACAUGCAUGGUAAGAGUUAACUUUAGGUUUUUUCUUAGGUCUGUUUUUGUUUGCCAGGCAGAAUUGGAGCUCCAAAAAAGUAUUUUAGAAGUUAACCUUACCUAUACAGUAUUGUAAAGGACUUAACCUCUAAUUAAAAUAAAUAAAUUUUAAAAAAAAGAAGUUAACCUUUUCCUAACUGCACGUGUAAAAAGAACUGGUUUUGCAAUUUCAAAAAAGAUUUUAUUUUAAUCAGUAUUCUCUGGAGUCUAAAGAAUAUCAUGGCCAUUCAGUGUCAAAAAUAUCAUUUCUCCUUUUUGUAGUUACAGUAUAUUAUUAAUGAUAUAUGCAUGAGGGAAUUGCUGUCACAUAGGAAGUAAAGCCUUGGCUAUAAAAUUUUGACAAAUAUUAGGAUUCUUAAGCAUAUCUUGAGGUAACAUAGUCUAUUGAAAUCUCUUAUGAGUCCCGAUAUGAUUAGGAUAAGGGAGACAGAAAGUGAAUCUUUCCCAGUCUAAAGGAUGUAGUUCAGUUCAGUCGCUCAGUCGUGUCUGACUCUUUGCAACCUUGCCACCCCAUGAAUCACAGCACGCCAGGCCUCCCUGUCCAUCACCAAUUCCCAGAGUUCACCCAAACUCACGUCCAUUGAGUCAGUGAUGCCGUCCAGCCAUCUCAUCCUCUGUCGUCCCCUUCUCCUUCUGCCCCAAUCCCUCCCAGCAUCAGAGUCUUUU